This 505-nucleotide ribosomal RNA is filed under the name uncultured bacterium. RNAcentral's name for it is "partial 16S ribosomal RNA". It matches the Rfam family "Bacterial small subunit ribosomal RNA", at positions 28 to 507 of the family's 1533-position model. The record is from RNAcentral.
GACGAACGCUGGCGGCGUGCCUAAUACAUGCAGGUAGAACGCACAGUUUAUGCCGUAGCUUGCUACACCAUAGACUGUGAGUUGCGAACGGGUGAGUAACGCGUAGGUAACCUGCCUGGUAGCGGGGGAUAACUAUUGGAAACGAUAGCUAAUACCGCAUAAUAUUAAUUAUUGCAUGAUAAUUAAUUGAAAGGUGCAAUUGCACCACUACCAGAUGGACCUGCGUUGUAUUAGCUAGUAGGUGAGGUAACGGCUCACCUAGGCGACGAUACAUAGCCGACCUGAGAGGGUGAUCGGCCACACUGGGACUGAGACACGGCCCAGACUCCUACGGGAGGCAGCAGUAGGGAAUCUUCGGCAAUGGACGAAAGUCUGACCGAGCAACGCCGCGUGAGUGAAGAAGGUUUUCGGAUCGUAAAGCUCUGUUGUAAGAGAAGAACGGGUGUGAGAGUGGAAAGUUCACACUGUGACGGUAUCUUACCAGAAAGGGACGGCUAACUACGUG